GAGGGUGUAGCUCAAUGGUAGAGCAUCGGUCUCCAAAACCGAGGGUCGUAGGUUCGAUUCCUACCACCUUUG
Molecule: transfer RNA, 72 nt
Filed under: Bdellovibrionales bacterium
Lineage: Bacteria; Pseudomonadati; Bdellovibrionota; Bdellovibrionia; Bdellovibrionales
Description: tRNA-Trp
Rfam family: tRNA
About the family: Transfer RNA (tRNA) molecules are approximately 80 nucleotides in length.
Source: RNAcentral